RNAcentral lists this RNase P RNA (228 nucleotides) under Rhizobiales bacterium 32-66-11. RNAcentral describes it as "RNase P RNA component class A". It matches the Rfam family "Bacterial RNase P class A". From Rfam's summary of the family: Ribonuclease P (RNase P) is a ubiquitous endoribonuclease, found in archaea, bacteria and eukarya as well as chloroplasts and mitochondria. Its best characterised activity is the generation of mature 5'-ends of tRNAs by cleaving the 5'-leader elements of precursor-tRNAs. Lineage: Bacteria; Pseudomonadati; Pseudomonadota; Alphaproteobacteria; Hyphomicrobiales. The record is from RNAcentral.
CCAGCCGGCCGGGCGGCCGCGUCACCUUCGGGUGCCGAGGAAAGUCCGGGCUCCACGGAGACAGGAGCAAAGUCGAAUAGGGACGGCAUCCUUUUAGGAAAGCCCUGUCUUCGGGCCGCCGUCCGGGUUGACUGCUAGAGGCGCCGAGCAAUCGGCGUCCCAGAUGAAUGGUCGCCACGCGGGCGCAAGCCCGCCGUACAGAACCCGGCUUACAGGCCGGCUGGUAUU